Molecule: ribosomal RNA, 1583 nt
Filed under: uncultured Gammaproteobacteria bacterium
Lineage: Bacteria; Pseudomonadati; Pseudomonadota; Gammaproteobacteria
Description: bacterial LSU rRNA
Rfam family: Bacterial large subunit ribosomal RNA
Source: RNAcentral
AAACUCGGAGAUAGCUGGUUCUCCCCGAAAACUAUUUAGGUAGUGCCUUAUGAGUAUCUCACAGGGGUAAAGCACUGUAUCGGUAAUGGGGGCAUUAGUGCCUUACUGAUCCGAUGCAAACUCAGAAUACUGUGAAGAGUAAAUCAUAGGAGACACACUGCGGGUGCUAAGGUCCGUGGUGGAGAGGGCAACAGCCCAGACCGUCGAUUAAGGUCCCAAAGUUAUCACUAAGUGGGAAACGAAGUGGGAAGGCGAAGACAGCCAGGAAGUUGGCUUAGGAGCAGCCAACCUUUAAAGAAAGCGUAAUAGCUCACUGGUUGAGUCGGCCUGCGCGGAAGAUUUACCGGGUCUUAAGUGAUACACCGAAAUUGCGGAAUUGAUGUAAGUCAAUUGGUAGGGGAGCGUUCUGUAAGCUGAAGAAGGUGAACUGAGAAGUUUGCUGGAGGUAUCAGAAGUGCGAAUGCUGACAUGAGUAACGAUAAUGCGGGUGAGAAGCCCGCACGCCGAAAGUCUAAGGAUUCCUGCGCACUGUUAAUCAGCGCAGGGUAAGUCGGCCCCUAAGGUGAGGCUGAAGAGCGUAGCCGAUGGGAAACAGGUUAAUAUUCCUGUACUUACUAUUAAUUCGAAGGAGAGACGGAGAAGGUUAGGUUAUCCUGGUGAAUGGUUAUCCAGGCCCAAGCGUGUAGAUGGGAUGUUUAGGAAAAUCCGGACAUUUAUUAAACAUUGAGGCGUGAUGGGGAGGCACUUAUGUGCUGAAGUAAUUGAGACCCUGCUUCCAAGAAAAACUCCUAAGGAUCGUUAAUAGUGAACCGUACUGUAAACCGACACAGGUGGACAAGUAGAGCAUACUAAGGCGUUGAGAUAACUUGGGUGAAGGAACUAGGCAAAAUGGCACCGUAACUUCGGGAGAAGGUGCGCUCUUGCUGGUGAAGGGAUUUACGCCCGGAGCUGGCGAGAGUCGAAGAAACCAGGUGGCUGCGACUGUUUAUCAAAAACACAGCACUCUGCGAACUCGAAAGAGGAAGUAUAGGGUGUGACGCCUGCCCGGUGCCGGAAGGUUAAAUGAUGCGGUUAUCUGACCCUUUAAUUAUUUUCAAGAUCAAGGCGGAUUUAUUUUGUGACGAGGGAGCUUACAUUAGUAAGUGACUGAGGAGGAAUAAUGAAUCCAACGCGGAGCUUGAGAAUGAUUAGAGGGUCAGAGAAGCUGUUGAUUGAAGCCCCGGUAAACGGCGGCCGUAACUAUAACGGUCCUAAGGUAGCGAAAUUCCUUGUCGGGUAAGUUCCGACCUGCACGAAUGGCGUAACGACGGCCACGCUGUCUCCACCCAAGGCUCAGUGAAAUUGAAAUUGCUGUGGAGAUGCAGUAUACCCGCGGCUAGACGGAAAGACCCCGUGAACCUUUACUACAGCUUUGCACUGGACUUUGACUAUACUUGUGUAGGAUAGGUGGGAGACUAUGAAGCUUUAACGCCAGUUAGAGUGGAGUCACCCUUGAAAUACCACCCUAUUAUAUUUGAAGUUCUAACCUAGGUCCUGAAACGGGAUUGGGAACAGUGCAUGGUGGGUAGUUUUACUGGGGCGGU